Herpailurus yagouaroundi (jaguarundi) is the source of this 104-nucleotide small nuclear RNA. The record is from RefSeq and is a predicted model, not a curated record. NCBI's taxonomy places the organism in Eukaryota, Metazoa, Chordata, Mammalia, Carnivora, Felidae.
GUGCUUGCUUUGACAGCACAUAUACUAAAAUUUGAACAAUACAGAGAUUAGCUUGGCCCCUGUCUGAGGAUGACACACAAAUUCAUGAAGCAUUCCAUAUUUUU